RNAcentral lists this long non-coding RNA (416 nucleotides) under Heterocephalus glaber (naked mole-rat). Its description in RNAcentral is "lncRNA (ENSHGLG00000029731.2)". The record is from RNAcentral. Lineage: Eukaryota; Metazoa; Chordata; Mammalia; Rodentia; Bathyergidae.
AUCUCCUUUCCCCUCCCUCACACACUCACACCAAUUGUGACACCUUUUCAAGGCUGUCCUUUAAUGUGUGUGUUUGGAAAGUAGAAAAGGAGGCGGCAAAGAAAUACACGUAAUACAAUUUACUCCAAGACCCAAGACUUAAGACCAUGUAUCAGAGAUGACUUCGCUUAGGGGUUCAGAAAAUUCACUGGCAGAAGUCCAAGAUUAAGGUGCCAGCACAUUUAGUUUCUGGCAAGGCGUCUGUUCCUGGCUUGCAAUGGUCACCUUCUGAAUGGAUCUUCACAUUGAUAGAAAAGAGCUAUACGACUCUUUCUCCUCCGUGAUGCCCCUCUGCCAUGCCACCCUACAUUGGAGCCAGCCAACUACGGACUGAAACCUCUACAAACUGUGGCUGCAAUAAAUCUUUCCUCCCUUAA